UAAGCCUGUGAAGGUGGCCUGUGAGGGUUGCUGGAGGUAUCAGAAGUGCGAAUGCUGACAUAAGUAACGAUAAAGCGGGUGAAAAGCCCGCUCGCCGGAAGACCAAGGGUUCCUGUCCAACGUUAAUCGGGGCAGGGUGAGUCGACCCCUAAGGCGAGGCCGAAAGGCGUAGUCGAUGGGAAACGGGUUAAUAUUCCCGUACUUGGUGUUACUGCGAAGGGGGGACGGAGAAGGCUAUGUUGGCCGGGCGACGGUUGUCCCGGUUUAAGCGUGUAGGUGUGUGUUCCAGGUAAAUCCGGUUCACUUUAACACUGAGGCGUGACGACGAGGCACUACGGUGCUGAAGCAACAAAUGCCCUGCUUCCAGGAAAAGCCUCUAAGCAUCAGGUAACAUCAAAUCGUACCCCAAACCGACACAGGUGGUCAGGUAGAGAAUACCAAGGCGCUUGAGAGAACUCGGGUGAAGGAACUAGGCAAAAUGGUGCCGUAACUUCGGGAGAAGGCACGCUGACACGUAGGUGAAGUGAUUUACUCAUGGAGCUGAAGUCAGUCGAAGAUACCAGCUGGCUGCAACUGUUUAUUAAAAACACAGCACUGUGCAAACACGAAAGUGGACGUAUACGGUGUGACGCCUGCCCGGUGCCGGAAGGUUAAUUGAUGGGGUCAGCGCAAGCGAAGCUCCUGAUCGAAGCCCCGGUAAACGGCGGCCGUAACUAUAACGGUCCUAAGGUAGCGAAAUUCCUUGUCGGGUAAGUUCCGACCUGCACGAAUGGCGUAAUGAUGGCCAGGCUGUCUCCACCCGAGACUCAGUGAAAUUGAACUCGCUGUGAAGAUGCAGUGUACCCGCGGCAAGACGGAAAGACCCCGUGAACCUUUACUAUAGCUUGACACUGAACAUUGAGCCUUGAUGUGUAGGAUAGGUGGGAGGCUUU
RNAcentral lists this ribosomal RNA (932 nucleotides) under Salmonella enterica. RNAcentral describes it as "partial 23S ribosomal RNA". It matches the Rfam family "Bacterial large subunit ribosomal RNA", at positions 1243 to 2158 of the family's 2925-position model. The record is from RNAcentral. Lineage: Bacteria; Pseudomonadati; Pseudomonadota; Gammaproteobacteria; Enterobacterales; Enterobacteriaceae.